GAAACAGCCAGUCGCUAGCCAACCGCCGCGCGGGCCACACGUCAGCUCCCGGCGUCAAACACACGCCCGCAAAACCAUAACAAAAACACACUCUAACAUGCAUUUGAAUUUAGAACUAUAGAACCCGUAUUCCCAAUUCGAAUCUGUUUAAACAGCUGUCAAAAUUUUGAGGUUAUUUAUGUACCAACCUUUUUUGUGUAGUGCAGUGCAGUGAUGUGAAUGUGUCUGAUUUUGUAAAUACAGUGAAGAGUGCACAGUGUUCAUAAACGGAAAACUUCUAGAAAAUAAUCAAAAUGGCAGCUUUCAAGUUUUUAAUCUGUCUGUGCUUCGUGCAAGCAGCUUUGGCUAAAGGGUCCAGGUCGAAGGUGGAGUGUACUCCCGAAGUGAUGAAGGUGACCAUUCCCAUGGACGGAGACAGGAGCAUCACAUACCUGGAACAACUUAAAGAUUACAAGCCUUGUCAGCCUGAAAUGGACGGCAACACGGCCAUGUUCGUGCUGGACCUGCAGGAUCCUCACCGUUGCGCCGUCAUGAGAGUGCUGGAGACCAACACUGGCAAACGCAGUUUCUACAGCACGAUCGUGAUAGAGAACUCAGUGGGCGAGGUGGAGACGGUGCGCGCGCGCUGCGUGCUGGAGGGACGCCUGCGCGCGCUCAGCAAGCGCGACGUGCCGCCCUUCCCGCUCGACUUCAAUGAGCCCGAUGUGCUGAACAUCACGAGGUACGAAGAAGGAAAAGCUCCCGAACCAGUUCUCGGAGCCAUCGUCAAGCAGAAUGGCAAACAGGUAUCAGGCGAGAUCUCAGUAACCCCCGGCACUCCGCUGACAAUGGAAAUAUUCCUGAACGACAAGUCAGCUCCUAUCUACGGUCUACUGGUGAACUACAUGCACGUCACUGAUACUGGGAAACAACAGGAGACUAUCAUAUUGAAUGGCUGCUCAGUAGACACAUAUCUAUUCGAGAACUUCGUGACGGCUGAUGGAGACACGCUGACGGCCAAGUUCAAGGCGUUCAAGUUCCCCGACACCACGUACGUGCAGUUCAAGGGUACUGUCACCGUGUGCCUCGAUAAGUGUCAGGGGGUACAAUGCAGUAACGGUCAAAUAGCGUACGGGCGCAGACGACGCUCCAUCAGCGCGGGCGCAGACAGCAACAAGGUGUACGAGGUCUCGCUCACUACCUUCAUUAAAGUCGACUUUGAGGACGGACAGAGGGAAGCAGAAGACGUACUAGCACUCUUGAAGAACUUGAAAGUAGCAAACCAGCGCCUAGAAGACAUGGACGGCACCCCAGCUACAGUUGCCGAGCAGACGUCCAAAAACGUUCUCAUUUACGAACAAGAAACAUUUACUGAGAGCAAAGCUAGUAUCCUAACUAGCAGUCUAGUAAUCUUAGUUAGUUUGCUUCUUCUGUUCAAGUAAAAAACCUGUUGAAAACAUGGCAAUAAAUACCUAAAAGUUACGAAAUUCUUCAACUGGCAAUUCUUUUUUUAAAGUCUCAAGAUUGACAGUCGAUGGUAGCGCCAUUGUUUGCGUCGAAUUUUGGAACUAACUUCAAUAUGAUCAGUUGUAUAAAUUGAGUUUUUUAACGGUUUUUUUAUACCUUAUUUACAAAGUCAUAAAACUGUUGUCUUAAAGUACAUAAAAACUAAAUAUUUUUGCCCCAAAAAUGUAACUAAUAAAAUCAAGUACAUAUUAAUGAAUUAAUUGUUUUAUUAAUAAUUGCUCUGAACCAUUCCGUUAGCACUUAACAUGAAACUUAGAAUAAAAUAAAGUGAUUUAACUAUAGCAAGGUAAUUCUAACGUAAUUAAUUUAGUUUAGAUUUUAAUGUUUUUAGUACCAGUGAAAAGGUGAGCGCACAUUGUUAUUAAAAAAAAUAGAUACAAAAUGUUUCUAAUAGUCAAAAAACCUGGAGACUUAAUUUAAACCAACUUUUUACCAUGAAUUUUCAUUCUUUAACCAACUGUUUAUAAUGAAUAUUUACAUUCAAUUUUCAGUAGUUUUAAGAAAAAAAACAUUUAUGUUGUUGGUGAAAAUGGGCCUGACAAUACAUAUUUUUUUACCUACAAUUAUAUCUACGAGUAAGUAGAUAUAAAAAUAUAGUUGUCAAAAUAAUGUGCGUUCAUCUAAAUCGAUCUAAAUCGUAAUGCAACCGCAUUAAGCCCACUAGUCUUAUGAUAACUGUUCCAUAGAUAGCCUCCGUCCAAUAGUUGUGAAUAUUUUAACAUAGCACUUACAAAUGUAAGAUCUCUACAGUUUUUGUAAAAGCUUAAUAUUUUCUAUCUUGAAAAAAUACGAAUUUUACUAUAAUAAUCAAUUUAACUGGCAACAUCUACCAAAAAGUUUGUCACAUUUUUUGCUUUGUAAUAAAUGACAAGUUUGUCUUUAUAAAUAAGAAAAAUACCUAUCAUCCAAUAUGUUACUUUAAUCACAAAAUAUGAUUACGAUACAUCACAUUCAUAAAAAGAUUUUAAAAAUCUCUCUGUCCUCGGCCAUAUUUUUCUACUAAAUAAUUUAAUAUUUUGGUGCUUGCAAUACUGACACGUUUCGUGAUUCCAAUUUCGAAUUAGCUUUUUGGACCCUUUUUACAAAUUGUAUUUUUGGUUUUACUUCGAUAAGUACUUUUAUGUAUAAUGUUUUUUUGGAUUUUAAGUACUUUUUGGAGUUGCCUAUUAGGGGUAAAUUUAUCUCGUUACCUAUAUUAAUGAUCAGGGUUUAGGAAGAAACUAAGUGACCAACGAAGGUGUACAAAGUUGCUUUAGUUAAAAGCCAAAUGUGAAAGCGUCCUUAAUAUUUAUAGGAUUUUUAUCAUUUUUUUCAUACAUAAUCAUGGUUUUGGGGUUUUAUAAAAUCCAUUGAUUCAUCCAGGUGGACAGGGUUUUUUCAUAAUAACAUCGCGUUCAAAUUUGUAAAAAGGGUCCUACGCCUAACUGUAAGAUUAAGAAUUGAUUAGAAAUAAAAAUUAAAUAAAUAAAGAAUAUUUUCGAAAUUA
This 2992-nucleotide unclassified non-coding RNA is filed under the name Helicoverpa zea (corn earworm). RNAcentral's name for it is "uncharacterized LOC124643248, transcript variant X1". Lineage: Eukaryota; Metazoa; Arthropoda; Insecta; Lepidoptera; Noctuidae. The record is from RNAcentral.